AUGCUUCACCAUCAUCGCUCCCUCACCGAAUCUCUGCCUUGUGCUCUCAAUUUCUCACCUCUCAGUUUAAACUCAAGAUUUCAACAGACGCACGAAAUUGACAAAAUCAAGAGCAAUAGGAAUUACCUAUCAGAAGAACUAUCUAUUGUUUCGUCAACAUCGAAUCAGGUAUCUGCCAUUUUGCUUUUGCAAUAUGUUCUUCCCUUUCGACUCUGCAAAUCCUCUUCUUAUUCUCGCGUUACUGUGAACUGUUGUUGUUACAUGAGAUUGUUGCACGCAGAAGCAUAG
Non-coding RNA from Vicia faba (fava bean), 288 nucleotides. Lineage: Eukaryota; Viridiplantae; Streptophyta; Magnoliopsida; Fabales; Fabaceae. The record is from the annotation of a GenBank genome assembly.